Molecule: ribosomal RNA, 482 nt
Filed under: uncultured bacterium
Lineage: Bacteria
Description: partial 16S ribosomal RNA
Rfam family: Bacterial small subunit ribosomal RNA
Source: RNAcentral
GACGAACGCUGGCGGCGUGCUUAACACAUGCAAGUCGAACGCUGAAGCUCAGCUUUUGUUGGGUGGAUGAGUGGCGAACGGGUGAGUAACACGUGAGUAACCUGCCCCCUUCUUUGGGAUAACGCCCGGAAACGGGUGCUAAUACUGGAUAUUCACUGGUCUUCGCAUGGGGGUUGGUGGAAAGGGUUUUUCUGGUGGGGGAUGGGCUCGCGGCCUAUCAGCUUGUUGGUGGGGUGAUGGCCUACCAAGGCUUUGACGGGUAGCCGGCCUGAGAGGGUGACCGGUCACAUUGGGACUGAGAUACGGCCCAGACUCCUACGGGAGGCAGCAGUGGGGAAUAUUGCACAAUGGGCGCAAGCCUGAUGCAGCGACGCCGCGUGAGGGAUGGAGGCCUUCGGGUUGUGAACCUCUUUCGCUCAUGGUCAAGCCGCAACAAUGGUUGUGGGGAGGGUAGUGGGUAAAGAAGCGCCGGCUAACUACGU